This is a non-coding RNA of Triticum aestivum (bread wheat), 134 nucleotides long. NCBI's taxonomy places the organism in Eukaryota, Viridiplantae, Streptophyta, Magnoliopsida, Poales, Poaceae. The record is from Rfam.
UUCAUACUCCCUUCGUCCCAAAAUUCUUGUCUUAGAUUUGUCUAGAUAUGGAUAUAUCUAUACUAAAACAUGACUUGAUACAUUCAUAUUUAGACAAAUGUAAGACAAGAAUUUUAGAAUGGAGGGAGUAUUAA